This 298-nucleotide ribosomal RNA is filed under the name Marmoricola sp. RNAcentral's name for it is "partial 16S ribosomal RNA". Lineage: Bacteria; Bacillati; Actinomycetota; Actinomycetes; Propionibacteriales; Nocardioidaceae. The record is from RNAcentral.
GRGCUCGUAGGCGGUUUGUCACGUCWGGAGUGAAAACUCGGGGCUCAACCCCGARYCUGCUUCUGAUACGGGCAGACUAGAGGUAUGCAGGGGAGAACGGAAUUCCUGGUGUAGCGGUGAAAUGCGCAGAUAUCAGGAGGAACACCGGUGGCGAAGGCGGKUCUCUGGGCAUUACCUGACGCUGAGGAGCGAAAGUGUGGGGAGCGAACAGGAUUAGAUACCCUGGUAGUCCACACCGUAAACGUUGGGCGCUAGGUGUGGGACUCAUUCCACGAGUUCCGYGCCGCAGCUAACGCAU